CCUACGGGAGGCAGCAGUGGGGAAUAUUGCGCAAUGGGCGAAAGCCUGACGCAGCGACGCCGCGUGAGGGAUGAAGGUCUUCGGAUCGUAAACCUCUGUCAGCAGGGAAGAACGGUCACUGUGCUAAUCAGCAGUGAAUUGACGGUACCUGCAAAGGAAGCACCGGCUAACUCCGUGCCAGCAGCCGCGGUAAUACGGAGGGUGCGAGCGUUAAUCGGAAUUACUGGGCGUAAAGCGCUCGUAGGCGGUAUGUUAAGUCAAGGGUGAAAUGCCCGAGCUCAACGUGGGAACUGCCUUUGAAACUGGCAACCUGGAGUGUGUGAGAGGUAGGUGGAAUGCCAGGUGUAGGAGUGAAAUCCGUAGAUAUCUGGAGGAACAUCGGUGGCGAAGGCGACUAUCUGGCACAUAACUGACGCUGAGGAGCGAAAGCGUGGGUAGCAAACAGGAUUAGAUACCCGUGUAGUC
This 465-nucleotide ribosomal RNA is filed under the name uncultured bacterium. Its description in RNAcentral is "partial 16S ribosomal RNA". It matches the Rfam family "Bacterial small subunit ribosomal RNA", at positions 338 to 795 of the family's 1533-position model. The record is from RNAcentral.